This 587-nucleotide long non-coding RNA is filed under the name Sorghum bicolor (sorghum). Its description in RNAcentral is "long non-coding RNA (SBIC_LNC009474)". Lineage: Eukaryota; Viridiplantae; Streptophyta; Magnoliopsida; Poales; Poaceae. The record is from RNAcentral.
AAACACAAUACAUCACAUAUAUUUCACAUCCUUCAAAGAUAUCUCAUAUUCAUUACAUAAAUCUCACAUCCAUCACAUAAAUUUCAUUCGCAUCACAUAAAUCUCACAUCCAUCACAUAAAUAUCAUGCACAUCACAUAAAUCUCACAUCUAAACAAAUCCACAAGUACAAAUCCACAAGUUCAUCACAAGUCCAUCUAAACAAAUCCACAAGUCCAUCACAAGUCCAAAUAACUAACACAAGUGCAUCAUACGUUCAUCACCAACCGAACAAACAAAUGCAAAGAGAACUACCCGGCUCCACAAGGUCCCCACUAUGACUGUGGUGUACCAUGACCUGGAUCAUUAGAGGGUCUGAUAGGUGGAUUAUUCGAACCGACAGAUGGAGGCUGUACAAAAGAGAAGACAUUGCAUGUGUCAAACAAAAAAUCCAUUAGGCUCCAUGUAGUAUUGUGGUUUGAUCCUAAGCAAUUAGCAACAAACUUAAACACUCAUACUCAUACUUACAGGAAUACUGUGCGCGGGAGGUGGAGGUGGAGGUAUAGCGAAUAGCGAAGGUGGCGCAGCUUGAUCCGUAUGUUGCCCAAG